Molecule: long non-coding RNA, 589 nt
Organism: Brassica oleracea var. oleracea
Lineage: Eukaryota; Viridiplantae; Streptophyta; Magnoliopsida; Brassicales; Brassicaceae
Exons: 3
Source: RefSeq, a predicted model, not a curated record
UUGUCAAACUAAGAUGUUUAGACCACAACAUCAGUAUGAAGGUUGUCUGAGUUAAAAGAUUUCAGGAGUUUCCGAAUAAAGUGGUUGAUCUUCGGGGGAUUUAUCAUAUAAUCCAGACAAAUGCGGAGCUGCCUCCUUUGCUCUCAUGUGAGAGGGGAAGAGUUGGUAUGAAUAAAAGUGAUAACUUGGAUCCAAGAACGGGGAAAUCACGUACAACAAUCAAAGAGCCUAAACUCCUAAGAAGUCACCAGCCCAACAGCAUAAAAGGAGCCGAGACAGAAAUCAUUCUUCUAUAGUUGUUAAAAAAAAAGACAGAUUUCAUUCUUCCAACGCCACCGGAGACAUCUCAGUGACAACUCGAAGCGAGGAAAGAAAAUGAUGCAGCUUCAAGUCUUACUUAUAUAAUCAGCCUACUGGAUCUGCGAGCUAUGUCAGACAAACUGAACUUUUUCUGGCCGCAAGUUGAUUUAGAUUUCGAAGACUAUUAAAAAUAGAAAGAGUUAAAAAUGGGAGAAAAAUAACUACCAUUAGUUUUUAGCCAUUCAUACACUUCUCACCAUAUGUAAAUUGCAAAUUUGUCCCAGUUGUG